CACGUAGGAGGCAAACGUUAUCCGGAUUUACUGGGCGUAAAGCGCGUGUAGGUGGUUCUGUAAGUAGGGCGUGAAAGCUCCCGGCUCAACUGGGAGAGGCCGUUCUAAACUGCAGAGCUGGAGGAUGGUAGAGGGAGGUGGAAUUCCAGGUGUAGCGGUGGAAUGCGCAGAUAUCUGGAGGAACACCAGUGGCGAAGGCGGCCUCCUGGACCAUUCCUGACACUCAGACGCGAAAGCUAGGGUAGCAAACGGGAUUAGAUACCCGGGUAGUCCCUGA
RNAcentral lists this ribosomal RNA (277 nucleotides) under uncultured prokaryote. Its description in RNAcentral is "partial 16S ribosomal RNA". It matches the Rfam family "Bacterial small subunit ribosomal RNA", at positions 524 to 800 of the family's 1533-position model. The record is from RNAcentral.